This 3962-nucleotide long non-coding RNA is filed under the name Oryzias sinensis (Chinese medaka). RNAcentral describes it as "lncRNA (ENSOSIG00000010195.1)". Lineage: Eukaryota; Metazoa; Chordata; Actinopteri; Beloniformes; Adrianichthyidae. The record is from RNAcentral.
AUGGGAACAGAAGUGAGAGGCUGGGAUUCAGAUCCUGAACUAUCACCUGAUCUUUUUUUUUUUUUGGGGGGGGGGGGGGGGGGUGGUACAUCAAACCAGAAGAAAGUCACCAAAGUGUCUCCUAAAAAAAGUGAAUCAAUGCUCUGUCUUUGUGAAGCUGAUGCCUCCAUCAGAGCGGCUGUCCUCCUUCAGGGUCCCACUCUUCCUCCUCUUCUUCAGGUUCAUCCUUUGCUGCUUGCUGAGAGGGCGGAGACUUGCACCGUGUGGUUGCUGCGAUACACCCUGCAUGUGACCUCAGCCCCGCAUCGCCCCGCCCACAAAGAUGGUGCAGACAGGCGGCUGCGCAGACAGAGCAUGCCCAGUGGUCCAGUCACGGACACGCCCACCGCCAGAGUGACAGGUUUUCUGUCCCACAGACUGAAGCAGUCCCUGCGGCGGACCCGCUCUCAGCCCAAACUGUCCCGGCACAGAAGCCUGAAGACUGAGCCCAUCAGCAGCACCGACACCAGGUAACUCCUGCUCAGGAGGAGCACAGAGCCUCCUCAGCCCCUCCAUUGUGAUGGAUGACCAUGCCUGUUGUUCUGACAAACCUGUUGGACUUGAACACCAAGGGCACUCGCUAAAACCACAACCUGGGCCAGCCUUUGGGUCUGGUUGGGGCCUGGUGCUUUGGGGUGGAACCCCUCUGAACCCCCUUGUUCUUUGCUCUGUGGGGGUGCUGUGUCUGCAGCAGCCCCACCAACACGAACACCGGGCCCCCAAAGGCUCCGAGCUGCAGCUCUGGGGGACUUCCUCCAGGGGAGGGGCUGAACAAGGACACGAGGAGCGUGAAAAGGAGAUGAGGGGAGGAAGUAGGGCAGCUUCACUGCAGGGGAGGGGGGACUGCUGACAGAGGGGGAGAGAGAGACAGAGACGGAGAGAGCCGAGCCUGCGAUGCUUUGUAGCAUCCGCUAGCAGACAGACGGACAGACGGAGGGACAGACAGGUCCUCAGCCCUUCCAACAAACAGCAUCAGGAUUAGCAGCUUCUCCAUCUUUCUCCUCCUCCUGCUCCUGUUUGCAGCUGAGGGAGGACAUGGCUUCAUAACCCCCCUCUCCUCUCCUCCUCCUCCUCACUCAGAAUGCUCGGUUAGUAUCUCUGGUCUCUGGCUCUCAUUAGGCGUCUUUGUCAUCUGAAGUCUAUGCUGCAGUGUGUGUGUUUGUGUGUGUGUGUGAUGGGGGUGCAUACACGGUGGCGUCCUCCACCUUAUUUGCAUGUCCAUGCAUGCUGCGUUUCUCUGAGCGUCGUGUGUGUGUGUGCGUGUGUGUGUGUGUGUGUUAUCCAGGCUGCAGUCUGCACACAGCUAUCCUCCUCUGUUAGCAUGUAGCUACGCUGGACACACAGUUAGCCAGGAUGUUAACGUGAUCACAACCUGAUCACACACACACAUACACUGUUAGCAUGAAGGAGCUUGUUUAAAUGGAGAGGAGGUGAUGAGCUGACAUCAGGGGUUGUGUUGGGUUUGCAGGUUCUGGUUCUGUGUGACAGUAGGAAGGCUCCAGACCUGUCACGGGCCAGAACCCAGCCUGGAUCAAACCGAUCCGCUUCCUUCUGUUUCUGCUGGCUGCAGUUUUCCUGAUGGUUUCUCACGUCUGUCUGCUGCUGCCAUGUGUCACAGGAACGACAAGAAUCUCCUCACGGUGGCUGAAUGCCUCCUCAUCUGCCUUUUGUGUUGCUGAAGCGGUCAGAAGAUCUCUCUGCGAACCUUCGUGUCUGUGUGCUGGAACUCGGCUUCCAUUCCGGCUUCAGCCGGACUCAUGUUCCUGUGGCAAAACUGAGGAAAAGCAGCACAGAGUCCAUCAGAAACCUGGUGAUAAGCAGGAUGAAGAUGGCCUCCAGUGAUAGUCCUGGUUUUUAUCUGGACUGAAAAGGACAUCAGCUGAAAAACUGGUUCUCCGUUUGGAGUAAAGCCGUGGUGUCAGCUUGCAGGUGAACAUCUGCCUCAUUUGUGACCAAGAUCCGUGCUGGUCUUUGAAGGACUGAGUUUCCUGUUAGCUUUACAUUCCCUAAGCUGAAUCCUGAAUCCAGACUCAGACCCUGAAAGCAGCUGCAUCAACACCAGUUAGCAUUAGCUCGUUGUGUCUGAGGUUUUCUAGUGACGAGCGUUGGACAGACGAUCCGCACGGACACGGUGAGGGAACUUCAGUCUUUAAAAAGGGAGUUUGAUUUAGGUUUUCACAACCAUACUGCUGGCUUCCUUUAACUUAUUCACACCUAACUUAGUUUAUUAGUAACAAGUGGCUACGGUCUCAAUGUUCUAACCCGGGCGGUCAUCAGAACCUCUGGGUUCAUUUUUUUUUUGAAAGGUCUCUGGCAUCAAAAGUCCAAUUUAAUGCAGCUUUUGUUGCUGGCUGAACUCCUCUGUAAAUUGUUUUUCGAUAUUCCCCCCAAUGUGUUGCUCUGGUGCUUAUCCCCACAUUUAGGACUCUGGAUGGACAGAUAAUGAACCAGAAUAAAACCUGGAAACAAUAUUAGCUGGAUGGCCCUGAGCCGCUCUGCUCCUCUGAGUAAGAGCUGCUGGAGCACACCAAAGAGGAGAACUGCUUAUGUCAUUGUUGAUGCAUUCAUGAAGGUUAAAACUAGGAUCCUAAAAUACAACUAUAGGAAGAUCUGGUUUCCUUCCAGAGUGCACGAUAACCUGAAGUGAAGAGAAUGUGCUCACUGCAAAGUGAAAGACGGCCUGAGCAAGGCAGCAUCUGCUGACUCGUCAGAUUGGAGCCGGGUUCAUCAUUGUUUCCAACAAAUAGAGUUAUAAUUUUAGUUUUAACUGCAGAUUAGUUGGUUUCAACUGUGUUGGCGUUUACACUGCAAGUUCUUUUCAGCAUAUCAGUCUGUAGGGAUCCACCACUUCAAAGGUCGUCUGACACAAAAGAAUCUGAAGCCAGGUCAGUUCACCAAGUGACCACUAUUUGGAAAAUUACACCAGUAAGAAAAUUCCCAUUUACUGCAAUCAAACACGUACUUCAAGUCGGGCACAAACGUGAUGUGUUUAAUGUAUUUUUUUUAUAUCCAAGCUGGGGUCCUCUACCAGAGGCCUGGGAGCUUGAGGGUCCUGCAGUAUCUUAGCUGUUCCUGUUCUUUUCUGGACUGAGAGGUCUGAGGUCUUUCCAGGUAUCUGUUGUAGCCACUCCUCCAGCUUGGGGGUUACUGCCCCCAGUGCUCCAAUUACCACAGGCACCACUGUCACCUUCACUUUCCAGGCUUUCUCCAGUUCUUCUCUGAGUCCCUGGUAUUUCUCCAGUUUCUCAUGUUCCUUCUUCCUGAUGUUCCCAUCGCUUGGCACUGCCACAUCCACCACAACGGCUUUCCUCUGUUCUUUAUCCACCACUACAAUGUCUGGUUGGUUCUCCAUUACCAUCCUAUCAGUCUGGAUCUGGAAGUCCCACAGGAUCUUUGCCCUCUCAUUCUCUAUCACCUUCGGGGGUGUUUCCCAUUUUGACCUUGGGGUUUCCAGUCCAUAUUCUGCACACAUGUGGCGCUCCAUGUAUGCUUUACCUGCCAGCAUCUUACAUCCUGCAGUUAUGUGCUGGAUUGUUUCAGGCGCCUCUCUGCACAGCCUACACCUUGGGUCUUGUCUGGUGUGGUAGAUCUACACCUUGGGUCUUGUCUGGUGUGGUAGAUUUACACUAUCACAAUAUCAGCCACAGUUACAGGGGGCUGGAUUUCGAAUGGAACCCUCAAUGUAUGAUGUGUCAGCUGCUCCCCAAUGCCCCCCUGUACCCCUGUAGCUCCUCCCCUUUUGCCUGGAAAUUGUUCUUGCCAUUGGGGUGGCUUCUCAGGACUUGCCUCACUCGUUGGAGGUAUUUAGCUGUUGCAGCUUUCCUUGUUGCCUGCUCCAGGUUGCUAUUUUCCUGCGGAAUUCCAAGGUACUUGUAACUGUCCUGGAUGUCUGCUAUUGUUCCUUCUGGGAGUGAGACCCUCCU